This 406-nucleotide ribosomal RNA is filed under the name uncultured bacterium. Its description in RNAcentral is "partial 16S ribosomal RNA". It matches the Rfam family "Bacterial small subunit ribosomal RNA", at positions 30 to 526 of the family's 1533-position model. The record is from RNAcentral.
AUUGAACGCUGGCGGCAGGCCUAACACAUGCAAGUCGAACGAGUGGCGGACGGGUGAGUAAUGUCUGGGACACUUCGCUAUGGUGGGGGAUAACUACUGGAAACGGUAGCUAAUCCCCCAUACUUUCGGAUGUGCCCAGAUGGGAUUAGCUAGUAGGUGGGGUAACGGCUCACCUAGGCGACGAUCCCUAGCUGGUCUGAGAGGAUGACCAGCCACACUGGAACUGAGACACGGUCCAGACUCCUACGGGAGGCAGCAGUGGGGAAUAUUGCCCAAUGGGCGCAAGCCUGAUGCAGCCAUGCCGCUUGUAUGAAGAAGGCCUUCGGGUUGUAAAGUACUUUCAGCGAGGAGGCGUUACUCGCAGAAGAAGCACCGGCUAACUCCGUGCCAGCAGCCGCGGUAAUAC